UGGGGAAUAUUGCACAAUGGGCGAAAGCCUGAUGCAGCAACGCCGCGUGAGUGAUGAAGGCCUUCGGGUUGUAAAGCUCUGUCUUUUGGGACGAUAAUGACGGUACCAAAGGAGGAAGCCACGGCUAACUACGUGCCAGCAGCCGCGGUAAUACGUAGGUGGCAAGCGUUGUCCGGAUUUACUGGGCGUAAAGGAUGCGUAGGCGGAUUUUUAAGUGAGAUGUGAAAUACCCGGGCUUAACUUGGGUGCUGCAUUUCAAACUGGGAAUCUAGAGUGCGGGAGAGGAGAAUGGAAUUCCUAGUGUAGCGGUGAAAUGCGUAGAGAUUAAGAAGAACACCAGUGGCGAAGGCGAUUCUCUGGACCGUAACUGACGCUGAGGCAUGAAAGCGUGGGUAGCAAACAGGAUUAGAUACCCUGGUAGUCCACGCCGUAAACGAUGAGUACUAGGUGUAGGAGGUAUCGACCCCUUCUGUGCCGCAGUUAACACAAUAAGUACUCCGCCCUGGAAGUACGAUCGCAAGAUUAAAAC
This 529-nucleotide ribosomal RNA is filed under the name uncultured bacterium. Its description in RNAcentral is "partial 16S ribosomal RNA". It matches the Rfam family "Bacterial small subunit ribosomal RNA", at positions 355 to 900 of the family's 1533-position model. The record is from RNAcentral.